Cygnus olor (mute swan) is the source of this 917-nucleotide long non-coding RNA. RefSeq lists it as uncharacterized. NCBI's taxonomy places the organism in Eukaryota, Metazoa, Chordata, Aves, Anseriformes, Anatidae. The transcript is spliced from 4 exons. The record is from RefSeq and is a predicted model, not a curated record.
UAAAAGCUUUCCAUUAUCUAAGGCACAAGCAAAAAGCUAAAAUGAAGGUUUAAUGACUUCCUCAGUCAUGGGCCUCAGUCAUGAAAUGCACGAGGCCAUCAUGCAUUCCUCGAGCGCCUUUUAUUUCAAGGGGUGUGUCAAGCAUGCACAGGGAUCCUGUUCAGGCCACCAGCCAGAAAUAUGGGCUUACAAAGUUUAGGACCACAAGGAUUUAGUCACAGUGAAGAGCUAUGCUAAUAAUGGAGAACAAAACACUGGCAACUACAUAAGGGUGAAGUGAAAGGUGCUAAUCCCCCUGCAGACAGAGGUCGUGUUAGGCAGCUCUGGCCGUCAAGCUUUUUAAACUGCUGAGGGGAAGACACUGACUGCUGCUGCUGGGCUACACAGGGUCAGAACUGCAGUGCAGGCCUCCAAGAGCUUGAUAAACAAAAGCUUUAUUGAUGCUUCCUGAGAUGGAUGUGGAGUAUGUUACGAACAGCAAAUAAUUCGUCUGAAGUCACGCACGGUCUGUCAAACACUGACUGAAUCCCCAUUCCCACCUCCUGUCAGUUACUGCUUCUCAAUCUCUCAUCUCACUGUGAGUAUGUAGCAAUACAAGGCAGUGUUGUGUGGGGAAUGGUGGUGGUAAAACAGCUGAUUGACUUGAUGAUGGUCAAUAAGGUGUCUGAGUGAAAUUCAGAAGACCUCAAUUCCAAUAAAUAGGUGUUGUGAAAUACCCUUGUGUAUCAGGCUUUUCCAGCAAGGUUUGAUAGCAAGGGUGGCCUCUGUGAGAAAAGUGCAGUAGCUGUCCCAUGUUAGAUAACAGCCGGCUCCAAAAGGGACCCACCGCUGCCCGAAGAUGCACCAAUGAGAGAUGCUGGUUGUGCCUCUGUGAGAGCACGUUUAAGAAAGGGGAAAAAAAUGCUGUGCAACAGCAG